Long non-coding RNA from Ipomoea nil (Japanese morning glory), 245 nucleotides. RefSeq lists it as uncharacterized. The transcript is spliced from 2 exons. The record is from RefSeq and is a predicted model, not a curated record. Lineage: Eukaryota; Viridiplantae; Streptophyta; Magnoliopsida; Solanales; Convolvulaceae.
AAUAUGUAACUUGACGGAUAUAAGAUGCAUUUUGUGGAUGGGUUUUGGAUGAUUUAACUUUCUACACAUCAUCUGGUGGGUGAAAGUGAAUUUGAUAGGGAAAUUGGGUUAUAAUGUGAAGAUAUGCUAGAAAUCAAAAGAUUCUAAUUUUGAAGAUUUUCAGGUGUAUUGUUUGGAUAUGGAAAGAGGAUUUGGCAGUGAUUUUAAAAGGUUUUACUUAACUGCUUCUUUGAAGAAAAAAAAAA